Molecule: ribosomal RNA, 526 nt
Filed under: uncultured bacterium
Lineage: Bacteria
Description: bacterial SSU rRNA
Rfam family: Bacterial small subunit ribosomal RNA
Source: RNAcentral
AGAGUUUGAUCCUGGCUCAGAUUGAACGCUGGCGGCAGGCCUAACACAUGCAAGUCGAGCGGUAACACAGGGAGCUUGCUCCUGGGUGACGAGCGGCGGACGGGUGAGUAAUGUAUGGGGAUCUGCCUGAUGGCGGGGGAUAACUACUGGAAACGGUAGCUAAUACCGCAUAAUGUCUGCGGACCAAAGCGGGGGACCUCCGGGCCUCGCGCCAUCAGAUGAACCCAUAUGGGAUUAGCUAGUUGGUGAGGUAAUGGCUCACCAAGGCGACGAUCCCUAGCUGGUCUGAGAGGAUGAUCAGCCACACUGGAACUGAGACACGGUCCAGACUCCUACGGGAGGCAGCAGUGGGGAAUAUUGCACAAUGGGGGAAACCCUGAUGCAGCCAUGCCGCGUGUGUGAAGAAGGCCUUCGGGUUGUAAAGCACUUUCAGCGAGGAGGAGAGGUUGAUGCUAAUAUCAUCAGCGAUUGACGUUACUCGCAGAAGAAGCACCGGCUAACUCCGUGCCAGCAGCCGCGGUAAUUC